AGUAAUGUCUGGGAAACUGCCUGAUGGAGGGGGAUAACUACUGGAAACGGUAGCUAAUACCGCNUAACGUCGCAAGACCAAAGAGGGGGACCUUCGGGCCUCUUGCCAUCAGAUGUGCCCAGAUGGGAUUAGCUAGUAGGUGGGGUAACGGCUCACCUAGGCGACGAUCCCUAGCUGGUCUGAGAGGAUGACCAGCCACACUGGAACUGAGACACGGUCCAGACUCCUACGGGAGGCAGCAUG
RNAcentral lists this ribosomal RNA (243 nucleotides) under uncultured bacterium. RNAcentral's name for it is "partial 16S ribosomal RNA". It matches the Rfam family "Bacterial small subunit ribosomal RNA", at positions 109 to 353 of the family's 1533-position model. The record is from RNAcentral.